GCCAGUAGCCAUAUCACUCUGCAACUCACAACUGGCAACCAACUGAAGCCGGUGUGAGCCUGGUCAGUACAUGGAUGGGAGACCUCCUGGGAAAAACUAAGGUUACUGCUGGAA
This 114-nucleotide ribosomal RNA is filed under the name Lepisosteus oculatus (spotted gar). Lineage: Eukaryota; Metazoa; Chordata; Actinopteri; Semionotiformes; Lepisosteidae. The record is from RNAcentral.